CCAAUCAGAUUGAAGCUGAUGAAACAGGCCCAGGAAACAGCUCUAGUUUUGGGGAGAUUUGUUUUCUUGGAGAAGGAUUUCCCUCCAAAUGUUUCUUCCAGCCUGAGCAAAGCAACAAUGAUUGGACUGAUAGUGCUGGUCCUUCUGUGUGGAGAGGUGUCUGCAGGCUCUCACACUCUCCGGUAUUUCCUCACCGGCGUGACUCCGAUUCCUGGUAUUCCGGAGUUUGUAGCUGUUGGUUAUGUGGAUGGCGUUCAGUUUGUUAUGUACGACAGCGAUGGGAAUGCGUUGAUCCCCCGGGAGCAGUGGAUGGUGGAGAGUGAGGGGCGUGAGGCCUGGGAGCGGAAGACGAUGCUGGCUCAGGAGCAGGAGCAGCAUAUCAAAAAGUAUCUUCCGAUCCUCAUGGCCCGGACCAACCAGUCGGGAGGAAUCCACACACACCAGAUGUUGAUCGGCUGUGACCUGAACGAUGAUGGAACCAGGAGGGGGAUCCACCAGAGGGGAUGGGACGGAGGAGAUUUUAUCAGCUUUGACCCGCAGCACAUGGUGUGGGUGACACCGGUCCCAUGGGGAGAGAACUUCAAAACCACCUGGGACCAGUUCAAGUUUGACAAACAGCGAUGGAAACAUUACCUGGAGGUGGAAUGUAUCGAAUGGCUGAGGAAAUACCUGGAGUAUGGACAGAGAGAACUGAGGGUCGUUGCCCCCGUCGUGUCCUUUACCCGUCUGGGUGAUUCUAACCGGCUGUCCUGUGUCGUCACCGGGUUUUACCCUCAAGCCAUCGAGGUGACUCUGUGGAGAGACGGAGUGUUGAUCGAGGAGACCCUGUCCACUGGGAUCUUACCCAAUCACGACAGGACCUACCAGAUCCGGAAAUGGAUGGAGUUUGAUCCGGAGGAUCAGGCUGAGUAUUCCUGUCGGGUGGAACACAGCGGGCUGGAGGAGGAGAAGGUGGUGAUUUACGAACCAAAGUCUCAGUCCCAGGUUCCUGUUCCGGUUGGGAUUAUCCUCGGGAUCAUCGGGAUCAUCGCUCUCACCGUUGUGGCUGUUGUUGUCUAUAAGAGGAAAGUGAGAGGGAAGAGCGGCUACAAUCCUACACAGAGCUGAUCAUCAAACAUCCUCUGGAUCUCUUCUGGUACAGGGGAUUCCUCGCCCAGUUUCUGAGUGUCCUCCCAGGUCCUGACCAUUAAUCCAGGGAUAUCAGUUCCCGAGAUCAGUGGGAGGAGUGGAUGAAUGAAUCCUGGAAGAUGUGAUUUCCUCGAGAUUGUAUCGAGUGAAUCGUGGUGGCUCUACAUUGUUACUGUGUAAAUAAAACUGUAAAUGUCUGCA
RNA transcript from Carcharodon carcharias (great white shark), 1329 nucleotides. It is a transcript of the gene named class I histocompatibility antigen, F10 alpha chain-like, with no coding region annotated. The transcript has 8 exons. The record is from RefSeq and is a predicted model, not a curated record. NCBI's taxonomy places the organism in Eukaryota, Metazoa, Chordata, Chondrichthyes, Lamniformes, Lamnidae.